AUCAUUUUGUGGGUCAUAAGCACGAUGAGUGGGUGUUCACACACAUGCAUGAAAUGUGCCUCCCUCAAAACUUGUAACAACAUUAGCACAUUACUAUUCUGAGA
Otolemur garnettii (small-eared galago) is the source of this 104-nucleotide small nucleolar RNA. Lineage: Eukaryota; Metazoa; Chordata; Mammalia; Primates; Galagidae. The record is from Ensembl.